GACGAACGCUGGCGGCGUGCUUAACACAUGCGAGUCGAACGGAAAGGCCCUGCUUUUGUGGGGUGCUCGAGUGGCGAACGGGUGAGUAACACGUGAGUAACCUGCCCUUGACUUUGGGAUAACUUCAGGAAACUGGGGCUAAUACCGGAUAGGAGCUCCUGCUGCAUGGUGGGGGUUGGAAAGUUUCGGCGGUUGGGGAUGGACUCGCGGCUUAUCAGCUUGCUGGUGGGGUAGUGGCUUACCAAGGCUUUGACGGGUAGCCGGCCUGAGAGGGUGACCGGCCACAUUGGGACUGAGAUACGGCCCAGACUCCUACGGGAGGCAGCAGUGGGGAAUAUUGCACAAUGGGCGGAAGCCUGAUGCAGCAACGCCGCGUGCGGGAUGACGGCCUUCGGGUUGUAAACCGCUUUCGCCUGUGACGAAGCGUGAGUGACGGUAAUGGGUAAAGAAGCACCGGCUAACUACGUG
Molecule: ribosomal RNA, 468 nt
Filed under: uncultured bacterium
Lineage: Bacteria
Description: partial 16S ribosomal RNA
Rfam family: Bacterial small subunit ribosomal RNA
Source: RNAcentral